ACAGAAGCCUUCAGAAUGAAGACCCAAAGAUACAGGGCAAAUUGUCCAUUUUUAUGCUUAGGUUCAACAAAGUAUAGACAGGCAUGUAGAAAUAUGACAGGACAAAAGGGUGUUAUCUAAUGUUAAUAGACCAAGUGAGGAAACCCGGCAAGCCCUGUCUAUCUAGAUUCUCUUGGCCUCUCUGAGCAUACAUUCCUUCCUUCUUCCUUCCCCUGGAUAUGGGGCAUGACCUUCUCUGCAAUGGGGGUCUUAUUACCUACAGUCAAACAAGUAACAAUGAUCAUCCUUAUAAUCUGGACUGUGGUUUUAAAAUACAAAGCGGAGUGGAUGGUGCCCACCCACGUGGAGAGGGAAAUCUACUUCGCUGAGUCCACCAAUUCAAAUGCUGACCUCAUCAGGAAAUAUCCUCAUAGACACACCCAGGAAUAAUGUUUAAUCUGGGCACUCCAUGGCCCAGUCAAGUUGACACAUAGAAUUAACCAUCCCGGGAACUGCACCUGGUGACAAAAUUAUAAAGAAAUCAAGAAGGAUGAAAAUUGUGGAAUUCGAAGUGAUUCAGAAACAUGUCAUCAUUCGCAAGAGGCAUGCGCUACUCUUAAAAAUAGGCCGAAAUUCAUCAACUAUUAAAUAACUGCGAACCUCAUUACAUAACGUGGACGGACGGGGCUUGAGGCAACCAGCAGGUGGAGGAAUUUCCAAAGCUAAGACACCGCGGGCUGCAAACCCGGCUUGGGAACCGGACAACGGUGAAGACGGUGGAUCCAUACCCACAGAAACCGAAGACGUUUGUUGACCAGCUCCAAGUUAUGCAGGAAAGACUAUUUUGGGUUAGGAGUUUUGGGUUAGGAUUACUCGUGAAAUAUGAGAUGGGGUGAAGGGAAAGCAUCGUUUGAGGCUGGAUAGCAGGAGAUAAAAAGCUGAAAAUAAGUCAUGUGCUAUGAAGACAAACAAAACAAAACAAAACAAAAAAAACCAAACCGACUAUGACCUAAGGGAGGAAGGAAGCAAAAAAAGAGAGUCAUCUGGGGGACGUGUUAGGAAGUGUGAUGUCACGCAGAAAGGUCAGGGACGGAGGCUGAGUUUCGCUUUGGACCAGUCAGCAACAGAAGGACAAAUAUUUAUAAAAUAGAAAGUUUUGGUACAAAUGGAUGUGAAUACAUUGAUUGAUUGGCUUCCGCUGCUCCUUUAUUAACACCAAAAAAAAAAAAUAACCAAUCCAGAGGGAAAAACCACAGAAGCUCUGUGAGCACCCUGGUCAAUGUAGCCCUUCCGUGCCUAAGUCAAAUUCUUUAACCUUAGAAUUUUACCUGUGACUCUGUCACCCACUGCUCUCCCAGACUUCCACCCCGCCUCCCGCCAAGGUGGAGCCCACAAGCCUGAAUGCCGCUGUCCCCCACACCCAGUUAUUAUUUCCUUCAUUCCAUGAGCUUAUCAUUAUCAUGAAGCGAGGCCCCUUGCCUGGCCCAUCUGGAGUUGUACACAGGCAGGACACACAUAACUGAAAACUCAAUCAAUGUCAUCAAAUUCCCACCUUGUUCUUGGCUCCCCCCAGCUCUUGCAGUCAAAUAAAUGAAAAAAA
Molecule: long non-coding RNA, 1579 nt
Organism: Microcebus murinus (gray mouse lemur)
Lineage: Eukaryota; Metazoa; Chordata; Mammalia; Primates; Cheirogaleidae
Source: RefSeq, a predicted model, not a curated record